RNAcentral lists this small RNA (1508 nucleotides) under Pongo abelii (Sumatran orangutan). RNAcentral describes it as "processed transcript". The record is from RNAcentral. Lineage: Eukaryota; Metazoa; Chordata; Mammalia; Primates; Hominidae.
AGAGAAUGGAUCUGCUCCGAGUGGGGACAUUGCUGACAAUCCCGGCUUCCAGAGGCGGCUAAGAACAGGCAGUUUGUGUCGGCUGGCUGCAGAUACCCAGAGGCACAAAGAGACCGAAACCACCCGGAGGGACCCACGGACGGACAGAUGGUAGGCGCGAACCCGAGAGGACCGGCGGAGGCUGAGCACCGAGAGCCGCCAAGGAAGAGAAACUAACUGCACACCCAAGUUACCCCGCCGGCUUUCCUUCGCUGCGCUAAGGAAUGAAACCUUUCCAGCUCGAUCUGCUCUUCGUCUGCUUCUUCCUUUUCAGUCAAGAGCUGGGCCUCCAGAAGAGAGGAUGCUGUCUGGUGCUGGGCUACAUGGCCAAGGACAAGUUUCGGAGAAUGAAUGAAGACGGAGACAGAGUUUUGCUCUUGUUGCCCAGGCUGGAAUGCAAUGGCGUGAUCUCGGCUCACUGCAAGCCCCGCCUCCCAGGUUCAAGCGAUUCUCCUGCCUCAGCCUCCUGAGUAGCUGGGACUACAGGCACCCACCACCUCAUUCGGCUGAUUUUUUGUAUGUUUAGUAGAGACGGGGUUUCGCCAUGUCGGGCAGGCUGGUCUCGAACUCCUGACCUCAGGUGAUCCACCUGCCUCAGCCUCUCAAAGUGCUGGGAUUACAGGCAUGCGACUAAUAUUCUUAAUGUAACCCUGUGGCUUAGGAGUAGGAGAAAUCUAGAUUCAAAUCCCAGGUGUAGUCAGGGCAGGCUUAGACCCCUAUCAUUACAGAUUCUCCAGGCCAGAAGGGACCAAAGGUCAUCUGGUUCCAUAUCCCUGUCAAGCACCAACGUGUGUAAAGACUGUGAACACAGCCGUAUGCUCAUUUAUUCACCAACCAUGUGUCCAGUGCCCGCUCUGUGCCUGGCGCUGUGCAUGUAAAAACACAGUCCCUGCCCCCAAGGAUACCACUGUCUUGAGGGGAAAGACAAACACGUCAGCAACUACAAUACAAUGUCGCAGUUGCGGUAACCGGGUAUGAAUAAGUAGCUAUGGAAACAGAGAAGGAGAAUCCAAUCACACUGUAGGCCAGGAGAGGAGUGUCCAGCAUGGCUUCUGGAGAAAUGAGCCCUGUGAGAUGUUUUAUUAUAAGAGGCUGUUGCAACCUAUGCUUGAAUCCCUCCAAAGACAAGAAACUAGCAGCCUGCCGAGGCGGUGGGCAGCUCCUCAGCCAGGCUCUCCAAACACCACACCCCUUCCACCCCAGGAGGCUGCAGUUUUCACAUUCUAGCUUUAUUGAUGACAAGGGGACCCAGUGACUUGGACAGCAGCCACUGGCAAGAUCCUGGGGUCUCCACUAUGUCAACUGCACCAAGGAUGCCUCCUUUCUUCUCUCUGCUUCUUUCUUCCAUCCCCAGCCAGCCUCAAAGGCUUCAUCACAGAAUUCUUUGAGUGCUGAGACCCUCCCCCAGCCCUCUCCCCAGGGUCUGAAGAAAGCCCCAGAGAAGUUGCAAUAAAUGAAGGUGCUUAAUG